AGUGAACGCUGGCGGUAGGCCUAACACAUGCAAGUCGAACGGCAGCACAGUAAGAGCUUGCUCUUACGGGUGGCGAGUGGCGGACGGGUGAAGAAUACAUCGGAAUCUACUUUUUCGUGGGGGAUAACGUAGGGAAACUUACGCUAAUACCGCAUACGACCUACGGGUGAAAGCAGGGGAUCUUCGGACCUUGCGCGAUUGAUUGAGCCGAUGUCGGAUUAGCUAGUUGGCGGGGUAAAGGCCCACCAAGGCGACGAUCCGUAGCUGGUCUGAGAGGAUGAUCAGCCACACUGGAACUGAGACACGGUCCAGACUCCUACGGGAGGCAGCAGUGGGGAAUAUUGGACAAUGGGCGCAAGCCUGAUCCAGCCAUACCGCGUGGGUGAAGAAGGCCUUCGGGUUGUAAAGCCCUUUUGUUGGGAAAGAAAAGCAGCAGGUUAAUACCCCGCUGUUCUGACGGUACCCAAAGAAUAAGCACCGGCUAACUUCGUG
Molecule: ribosomal RNA, 492 nt
Filed under: uncultured bacterium
Lineage: Bacteria
Description: partial 16S ribosomal RNA
Rfam family: Bacterial small subunit ribosomal RNA
Source: RNAcentral